Molecule: long non-coding RNA, 607 nt
Filed under: Mustela putorius furo (domestic ferret)
Lineage: Eukaryota; Metazoa; Chordata; Mammalia; Carnivora; Mustelidae
Description: lncRNA (ENSMPUG00000030107.1)
Source: RNAcentral
GCCGGUAGCUGGGCAGCAAGUCCUUUCUCGAAGAGAGAACAGAGCAGAAAAUCUGUGCACCUGACACACUUAUUUUCAGUUUAACUGUUGCCUCCCGGGCUAGAAGUAACCCCAGUGAAGGGCCCCAACCCAACAGACCCAGGACAGAAUUUAAGUAUCGCUCUGGGGCUGACUUGCACCAUGACUCUCCUGUCAAAUGAGCCAGGAAUCCUUGCGCUACCCGAUUCCAGCAGGCAGUGUCCAGCCACUGGGACCCUUGGCAGACCGAAUGGGGAAAGCGGGAGUAGAGCUGGUGGAGGGAAGGAGGUCGGAGAAGAUAGAAGAGUUGGAGCAAGUGGCGAAUUUGGUACGGAGAGAGACUCCCGCAUCUGGCUGUAUGUCAAAAGGACCUGGAGAACUUUUACAACAUAGACCUGUAGAUCCAGGGAAGGGACCUGGCCCAUUUGAUAAUUGGAGCAGAGUAACACCCCCUUCAUUUUGUGACAAAAUUAUUUUAAGAGUAAUUAUGCAAUAAUCAGUAGUGACUAUAUAAGAUGUCAUGUUAUGAAUAAUAUAUGUAGGACAUAUGUUGUACAUAAUGUAGCUAUAAUAAAUAAUGUAUGUGAAA